This 339-nucleotide long non-coding RNA is filed under the name Elaeis guineensis (African oil palm). RNAcentral describes it as "long non-coding RNA (EGUI_LNC029372)". Lineage: Eukaryota; Viridiplantae; Streptophyta; Magnoliopsida; Arecales; Arecaceae. The record is from RNAcentral.
GGUGUGAUAUUUUAUGGUAUCAGAGCUUAGGUUAUAAUCAUUGGAGAUUAUGAUAUAAAUGAUAUAAAUGAUUAAGAUAUGAUAGAAUAAUAUCAGAGCUUAGGUUUAAGAUCAUUGAGAUUAUAAAGUGAUAUCAAAAUUUUAUGUAUGAUCAAUAGGAUGUGACCGAGUGGAGUAUAAUAGAUAAUAUUAGAGCUUAAGAUUAUGAUCAUUAAGGAUGUGAUAGAAUGAUAUAAAGUUUAGGUUAUGAUUACUAGAGAAUAUGACUUAAGUGGUAUUUGAGCUUAAGGUUAUCAUUAUUCGGGAUUGUGACUUUAGUGAUAUUUGAACUUGAGGCUA